AAUUAGAGGUGCUUCGAGGCACUUUGGGGAUUCUCCAGGAACCUUCCCAUCUUUGGGGUUCUUUGAGGAACCUGCAUGGCCAUUGUUUGUCCGCGAGCGUGGAACAUUUUGAACUGCCGUGACGGACUUUCCAACGACUUUCCAUUCAACGAACAACUCAAAGAAUGAACAAAUCUGUGGAAGAAGUGUGUGACUGGCUAUCUCCCCCAUGGGUCUGCUUUAAGCUGCAUGUGACUGGACCGAGUAAUCAGACAGCCAAUGUGCAAGGAGAGGAUGCAGCCAGCGUGCAAGGAGAGGAUGCAGCCAGCCUCAGGUGUCACCAGGAAAAAAAUGAGGGCCGAAUGCCUUAAGAAACAUCCCAAUCUAUCCAUCCUGCAAGACAAAAUGAUCCGCACACGAGUAGAGAGGAGAAAAUACUUGCAAACUCAUUCAACUAUGGAGGCCCUUGAAGAAUAUCCUGGGCUAAGAUUCCCAGUUAUACUCCUCACAGAAUCACAAAGCCAGCUAGAUGUUGACAUAGACCGCAGCAUCAUGACAGGAAUGGGUCAAAUCGCCAAGAAGGUCAUAGAGGAAUGUCAGCGGCGAGCUACUGGACAGGACCUCUUUUGCAUGUAUGAGGAGGCCAAAUCAAUGCAACAUGAGGAGUGUCACAGAGGUCUGCAAGUCAUCCUGGGCACCUUGCUCCUUCCAUACCUGUUCAGAGAGAACCCCAAAGCACUUUAUGUGAUCAAUAGAAAGGAUCCAGAGGUUCCAACGCCGGUACUGGUCAUUACAGGGAACCCCUUCAUGGAGGCUUCUUUUGCUGUUCAACUCGACUUUCAGGAUGUCCUUACCCAAGAAGUUGAUGAGGUCACCCAGGCUUUGGCCACCCUAAUGUCUAUUUAUUUUGUUUUUAAU
Long non-coding RNA from Sardina pilchardus (European sardine), 897 nucleotides. RefSeq lists it as uncharacterized. The record is from RefSeq and is a predicted model, not a curated record. The transcript is spliced from 6 exons. NCBI's taxonomy places the organism in Eukaryota, Metazoa, Chordata, Actinopteri, Clupeiformes, Clupeidae.